This is a non-coding RNA of Tirmania nivea, 89 nucleotides long. The record is from the annotation of a GenBank genome assembly. NCBI's taxonomy places the organism in Eukaryota, Fungi, Ascomycota, Pezizomycetes, Pezizales, Pezizaceae.
UCCGUCGUGGUGUAGUGGCUAGCAUUUGAGACUCUCAUUUCAGGUGAAUGAGGACUCUCAGAACCCGGGUUCAAUUCCCGGCGACGGAA